This 301-nucleotide ribosomal RNA is filed under the name uncultured bacterium. RNAcentral describes it as "partial 16S ribosomal RNA". It matches the Rfam family "Bacterial small subunit ribosomal RNA", at positions 509 to 807 of the family's 1533-position model. The record is from RNAcentral.
CAGUCGCCGCGGUAAUACGAAGGGUGCAAGCGUUAAUCGGAAUUACUGGGCGUAAAGCGUGCGUAGGCGGUGAGUUAAGUCUGCUGUGAAAUCCUCGGGCUCAACCUGGGAAUGGCAGUGGAUACUGGCUCGCUAGAGUGUGUCAGAGGAUGGUGGAAUUCCCGGUGUAGCGGUGAAAUGCGUAGAGAUCGGGAGGAACAUCAGUGGCGAAGGCGGCCAUCUGGGACAACACUGACGCUGAGGCACGAAAGCGUGGGGAGCAAACAGUAUUAGAUACCCCGGUAGUCCCUGUCUCUUAUAC